RNAcentral lists this ribosomal RNA (755 nucleotides) under Arthrobacter sp. SKT-5. Its description in RNAcentral is "bacterial SSU rRNA". It matches the Rfam family "Bacterial small subunit ribosomal RNA", at positions 83 to 849 of the family's 1533-position model. The record is from RNAcentral. Lineage: Bacteria; Bacillati; Actinomycetota; Actinomycetes; Micrococcales; Micrococcaceae.
CUGCUCUGGUUAGUGGCGAACGGGUGAGUAACACGUGAGUAACCUGCCCUUAACUCUGGGAUAAGCCUGGGAAACUGGGUCUAAUACCGGAUAUGACUCCUCAUCGCAUGGUGGGGGGUGGAAAGCUUUUUGUGGUUUUGGAUGGACUCGCGGCCUAUCAGCUUGUUGGUGAGGUAAUGGCUUACCAAGGCGACNACGGGUAGCCGGCCUGAGAGGGUGACCGGCCACACUGGGACUGAGACACGGCCCANACUCCUACGGGAGGCAGCAGUGGGGAAUAUUGCACAAUGGGCGCAAGCCUGAUGCANCGACNCCNCGUGAGGGAUGACGGCCUUCGGGUUGUAAACCUCUUUCAGUAGGGAANAAGCNAAAGUGACGGUACCUGCAGAAGAAGCGCCGGCUAACUACNUGCCANCAGCCGCGGUAAUACNUANGGCGCAAGCGUUAUCCGGAAUUAUUGGGCGUAAAGAGCUCGUAGGCGGUUUGUCGCGUCUGCCGUGAAAGUCCGGGGCUCAACUCCGGAUCUGCGGUGGGUACGGGCAGACUAGAGUGAUGUAGGGGAGACUGGAAUUCCUGGUGUAGCGGUGAAAUGCGCAGAUAUCAGGAGGAACACCGAUGGCGAAGGCAGGUCUCUGGGCAUUAACUGACGCUGAGGAGCGAAAGCAUGGGGAGCGAACAGGAUUAGAUACCCUGGUAGUCCAUGCCGUAAACGUUGGGCACUAGGUGUGGGGGACAUUCCACGUUUUCCGCGCCGU